This 71-nucleotide transfer RNA is filed under the name Nanobdellota archaeon. RNAcentral describes it as "tRNA-Gly". It matches the Rfam family "tRNA". Rfam says of the family: Transfer RNA (tRNA) molecules are approximately 80 nucleotides in length. Their secondary structure includes four short double-helical elements and three loops (D, anti-codon, and T loops). The record is from RNAcentral. RNAcentral also lists the same sequence under 1 other name. Lineage: Archaea; Nanobdellati; Nanobdellota.
GCGCCGGUGGUCUAGUGGUAUGAUUUCACCCUGCCACGGUGGAGGCGCGGGUUCGAUUCCCGCCCGGCGCA